This 3551-nucleotide long non-coding RNA is filed under the name Homo sapiens (human). RNAcentral describes it as "HSALNT0093286". The record is from RNAcentral. Lineage: Eukaryota; Metazoa; Chordata; Mammalia; Primates; Hominidae.
GGCAUCCUUGUCUUGUUCCAUUUCCAAAGGAAAUUGUUCCAGCUUUGCUCAGUCAGUGUGAAGUCAGCUGAGGGUUUGUCAUAGAUGGCUCUUAUUAUCUGAGAACAUUUUCCAACUGUGGCUCAAAACAGAGACUGAGAUUUGACAACAAAAGAAGGAUCAGACAGAUGUGAUGUUGCUGGUUUUGAAGACUCAAGAAGAGCCAUGAGCCAAGGAAUGAGUGCAACACCUAAAAGCUGAAAACGGCAAGGAGCCGGAUUCUCCCCGGAGCCUCCAGAAAUGAUCACAGCCCUACUGACUCCUAAAUUUAGCUCACGAAGACCUUUGUUAGAUGUCUGAUGUUCACAAUUACAUGAAAACAAAUUUGUGUUUGCUAAGCCACCAAGAGUACAGUAAUUUGUUACAUCAGCAGUGAAAACCAAUAGAUUUAUCUUACUUUAUUUUUACAGCUUGUGAUAUAAUUUACCAUUUCUUUCUUGAAUUGAUCUCCCAUAUUUAUUUUAUAUUUCCAUAGGUUAUUAAGAAACAGAUGGUGUUUGGUUAUAUAAGUAACUUCUUUAGUGGUGAUUUGUGAGAUUUCGGUGCAUCCAUCACCCAAGAAGUAUACACUGCACCCUAUUUGUAGUUGUUUUUUUUCUCCCACCCUCCGAGAUAGGGUCCCACUCUGUCACCCAGGCUGGAAUGCAGUGGCGCAUCUCUGCUCACUGCAACCUCUGGCUCCUGGGCUCAAACAAUUCUCCUGCCUCAGCCUCCAGAGUAGCUGGGAUUACAGGCACCUACUGCCACACUUGGCUAAUUUUUGUAUUUUUGGUAGAGAUGGGGUUUCACCAUGUUGGCCACGCUGGUUUUGAACUCCUGACCUCAAAUGAUCCUCCCACCUCGGCUUUCCAUAGUGCUGGGAUUACAGGUGUGAGCCACCACGCCCGGCCCUAUUUGUAGUCUUUUAUCCUUCACCCCCUUCCUAACCCUUCUGCCUGAGUCCCCAAAGUCCAUUGUGUUAUUCUUAUGCCUUUGCAUCCUCAUAGUUUAGCUCCCAUUUAUGAGUGAGAGCAUAUGAUGUUUGCUUUUCAAUUCCUGAGUUACUUCACUUAAAAUAGUCUCCGAUCUCAGCCAGGUCACUGCAAAUUCCAUUAAUUCAUUGCUUUUUUUUGUGGCUGAGUAGUAUUCCAUCGUGUGUGUGUGUGUGUGUGUGUGUGUGUGUGUGUAUACACCACAGUUUAUCCACUCAUUGAUUGAUGGGCAUUUGGGUUAGUUCCACGUUUUUGCAAUUAUGCACUGUGCUGCUAUAAACAUGCCCAUGCAAGUAUCUUUUUCAUAUAAUGACUUAUUUUCCUCAGUAGUGGGAUUGCUGGAUCAAAUGGUACUUCUACUUUUAGUUCUUUAAGGAAUUUCCACACUGUUUUCUAUAGUGGUUGUACUAGUUUACAUUCCCACCAGCAGUAUAGAAGUGUUCCCUGUCUACUGUAUCCAUGCCAACAUCUACUAUUUUGUGAUUUUUUGAUUAUGGCCAUUCUUUCAGGAGUAAGGUCGUAUCACAUUGUGGUUUUGAUUUGCAUUUCCCUGAUCAUUAGCAAUGUUGCGCAUUUUUUUCAUGUUUGUUGUCCAUUUGUAUAUCUUCUUCUGAGAAUUGUCUAUUCACGUCCUUAGCCCACUUUUUGAUGGAAUUGCUUGUUCCAUGUUAGAGUUCAUUGUAGAUUGUGGAUAUUAGUUCUUUGUCAGAUGUACAGCUUGUGAAGACUUUUCCCCCACUGUGUAGUUGUCUGUUUACUCUGCUGACUGCUCCUUUUGCCAUGCAAAAGCUCUUUAGUUUAAGUCCCAGCUAUUUAUCUUUGUUUUUAUUGCAUUUGCUUUUGGGUUCUUGGUCAUGAAAUUCUUGUCUAAGCCAAUGUCUAGAAGGCUUUUUUCCAAAGUUAUCUUCUAGAACUUUUAUAGUUUCAGAUUUUAGAUUUAAGUCCUUAGUCCAACUUGAGCUGAUUUUUUAAGGUGAGAGAUGAGGAUCCAGUUUCAUUUUCCUACAUGUAGUUAGCCAAUUACCCCAGCACCAUUGUUGAAAAGGGUGUCCUUUUCCCAUUUGUUUUUGUUUGCCUUGUUGAAGACCAGUUGGGUGUAAGUAUUUAGGUUUAUUUCCAGGUUCUCCACUCUGUUCCAUUGGCCUAUGUGCCUAUUUUUAUACCAGUACCAUGCUGUUUUGUUGACUAUGGCCUCAUAAUACAGUUUGAAAUCAGGUAAUGUGAUUUUGCUUAGUCUUGCUUUGGCUAUGCGGGCUCAUUUUUUGGUUCCCUAUGAAUGUUAGAAUUGUUUUUUCUAAUUCUGUGAAGAAUGAUGGUGGUAUUUUGAUGUGAAUUGCAUUGAAUUUGUAGAUUGCUUUUGGCAGUAUGGUCAUUUUCACAAUAUUGAUUCUAUCUAUGAACAUAGGAUGUGUUUCCUUUUGUUUGUUUUGUCUAUGAUUUCUUUCAGUAGUGUUUUCUAGCUUUCAUUGUAGAGGUCUUUCACUUCCUUAGGUAUAUUCCUAAUUUUUUUUUUUUUGCGGCUAUUGUAAAAGGGGUUGAGUUCUUGAUUUGAUUCUCAGCCUUGUCUCUGUUAGUAUAUAGAAGAACUACUGAUUUAUGUACAUUAAUCUUGUAUCCAGAAACUUUGUUGAAUUCCUUUAUCAGUUCUAGGAGCUUUCCGGAGGAGUCUUUAGGGUUUUCUAGGUAAACAAUCAUGUGAUCAACAAACAGUGACAGUUUGAUUUCCUCUUUACUAUUUGGAUGCCCUCUAUUUUUUUUUUCUUUUCUGAUUGCUCUGGCUAGGACUUCUAGUACUAUGUUGAAGAGGAGUGGUGAGAGUGGGCAUCCUUGUUUUGUUCCAGUCCUCAGAGUGAAUGCUUCCAACUUUUUCCCAUUCAGUAUUAUGUUGGCUGUGGGUCUGUCAUAGAUGGCUUUUAUUAUAUUGAGGUACAUCUCUUGUAUGCCAAUUGUGCUGAGAGUUUUAACCAUAAAGGGAUGCUGGAUUUUGUAGAAUUGUUUUUCUGCAUCUAUUGAGAUAAUCAUACGAUGCUUGUUUUUAAUACUGUUUAUGUGGUGUAUCACAUUUCUUUUUUUUUUUAAGAGGAAAAUCUUUUUUAUGGUAUAAUAAAACAAGGCCAAACAAAAAAAGCUCAAUAACUAUUUAUCUCUGCAGAUAAAACAUGUAGACAGAUGCAGCUGCCUCGACUGGCUCAGGUUCUAAGAGGAGGGCAUUAGGACACCUUGCCCUCCACAAUAACAAGUGGUUUCAUUCUAAAAGAUCCCCAGAUGAAAGCAGGAGGAUUCCAAGGAAGGGUGAGAUGAAAGAAGUCCUAUGACCUGAACGAACUCUUAACAGCACCUUAAAUUAUGGAGACCUCAUCUUUUGGUCCCAGUUUUCCAGGUCUGACCCUUCAGUGUCCAGAUAACCACCAACACCUGCCUGGUGGGGACACGUGGGCAGCAACAUGGAGCGACAGUGCGCAGCAUGCUACACACUGGAGGGCAGACACUGGAUAACAGUCUUUAGGCUCAGCCUGUCACACAAGUGCAUGCUCAGAGCUC